This 548-nucleotide ribosomal RNA is filed under the name uncultured Glomeromycotina. Its description in RNAcentral is "SSU rRNA". It matches the Rfam family "Eukaryotic small subunit ribosomal RNA", at positions 548 to 1098 of the family's 1831-position model. Lineage: Eukaryota; Fungi; Glomeromycota. The record is from RNAcentral.
UUGGAGGGCAAGUCUGGUGCCAGCAGCCGCGGUAAUUCCAGCUCCAAUAGCGUAUAUUAAAGUUGUUGCAGUUAAAAAGCUCGUAGUUGAAUUUCGGGAUCAGAGUGUCGGUCGUGCCUCGGUACGCACUGGUAUUAUUGGUUCCUACCUUCUGAAGAACCGCGAUGUCAUUAAUUUGGUGUCGUGGGGAAUCAGGACUGUUACUUUGAAAAAAUUAGAGUGUUUAAAGCAGGCUUACGCUUGAAUACAUUAGCAUGGAAUAAUGAAAUAGGACGUUUGAUUCUAUUUUGUUGGUUUCUAGGAUUGACGUAAUGAUUAAUAGGGAUAGUUGGGGGCAUUAGUAGUCAAUUGUCAGAGGUGAAAUUCUUGGAUUUAUUGAAGACUAACUACUGCGAAAGCAUUUGCCAAGGAUGUUUUCAUUAAUCAAGAACGAAAGUUAGGGGAUCGAAGACGAUCAGAUACCGUCGUAGUCUUAACCAUAAACUAUGCCGACUAGGGAUCGGAUGAUGUUAAUUUUUUAAUGACUCAUUCGGCGCCUUACGGGAAAC